Molecule: ribosomal RNA, 301 nt
Filed under: uncultured bacterium
Lineage: Bacteria
Description: partial 16S ribosomal RNA
Rfam family: Bacterial small subunit ribosomal RNA
Source: RNAcentral
CAGUCGCCGCGGUAAUACGAAGGGUGCAAGCGUUAAUCGGAAUUACUGGGCGUAAAGCGUGCGUAGGCGGUUUGUUAAGUCUGUUGUGAAAUCCCCGGGCUCAACCUGGGAAUGGCAAUGGAUACUGGCAAGCUAGAGUGUGUCAGAGGAUGGUGGAAUUCCCGGUGUAGCGGUGAAAUGCGUAGAGAUCGGGAGGAACAUCAGUGGCGAAGGCGGCCAUCUGGGACAACACUGACGCUGAGGCACGAAAGCGCGGGGAGCAAACAGGAUUAGAUACCCCAGUAGUCCCUGUCUCUUAUAC